UCGAUGAAGUUUGUGAGGACUUGGAGAUAAACCGCAGAAUCUUUGAUCGGAUUGUUCUCCGGUUGGCUUCAAAGCUUCAAUCGAUCUCUCGGCUAAGGAUUGUCAAAUUUGUAGUGUGCGAGUUAGCAACUUCACAGUAGCAGCAAGAAGAGAGAAACAGCAGUGAGCAGCUGUUGGUGUGAAAAUAGCAGCCAAACAGUGAAAGUAGCAGCAAAGAAAAACAGCAGCUAGCAUUGGUUAACAGUCUUGCUGUUUCAAGUCUGAAACUGUGAACUUAUUGACAGCGUGCACAUUUUGACAGCAAAGCAGUUCCAACAGCAGCUCAGGAGGAAUCAUUCGAGAUUUGAAACAGUAGGUAGCUCAACAGGUAGUGCAGGUUGAAGAAGCAGCAGCAUUGGGUUUGUGAUGAUCUGUGUGCAAAUUGAAGCUGUGUUUGUGAUUUGCUUUAAAACAAUUUGCUGUUUUUGAGUUGUUUUCGUGCAAGUAGAUUUGCUUUGAAACAACAAUUUCUAGCAGCAAAACAAGGUGUAACAGCAAGUUUGGAACCGACAGUAACAAGAACAGCAGCAGCAACAACAUUUGAAAGAUUCGCAUGCUGUCCAGUUUGAACACAUGCUUCCAGAGUUUUGACAGGCUUACUUUCAUUGUUGUGUCCUGUUUUGUGGUUUUGUGGUUUAAGAAGCUUGAUGCCUUUUAAGAAGUUUUGCAACAGUAACAAGAUUAGAAUUCUGUUUUGCCUUCUGUGCUUGAUUUAUUGGCCUCUUGAUUGCUAUUGGUCUGAACUUGGUUUCAGGCUAUCUUCAAGCAAUCGUUGUGCCAAUUAGUAAACCAAGUGGUCAAUUGUACCUUGUUGGACAAGUUCGAGCUAGAUAUAAGCUUACUCGUUUAGCAACUGUGAAGGGUGGUUAAAAUUUGAAAAUAAAAAUGUGCA
Cynara cardunculus var. scolymus (artichoke) is the source of this 931-nucleotide long non-coding RNA. RefSeq lists it as uncharacterized. NCBI's taxonomy places the organism in Eukaryota, Viridiplantae, Streptophyta, Magnoliopsida, Asterales, Asteraceae. The record is from RefSeq and is a predicted model, not a curated record. The transcript is spliced from 3 exons.